Molecule: ribosomal RNA, 766 nt
Filed under: uncultured bacterium
Lineage: Bacteria
Description: bacterial SSU rRNA
Rfam family: Bacterial small subunit ribosomal RNA
Source: RNAcentral
GAGUAACGCGUAGGUAACCUGCCUGGUAGCGGGGGAUAACUAUUGGAAACGAUAGCUAAUACCGCAUAAUAGUAGUUGUUGCAUGACAACUGUUUGAAAGGUGCAAUUGCAUCACUACCAGAUGGACCUGCGUUGUAUUAGCUAGUUGGUGGGGUAACGGCUCACCAAGGCGACGAUACAUAGCCGACCUGAGAGGGUGAUCGGCCACACUGGGACUGAGACACGGCCCAGACUCCUACGGGAGGCAGCAGUAGGGAAUCUUCGGCAAUGGACGGAAGUCUGACCGAGCAACGCCGCGUGAGUGAAGAAGGUUUUCGGAUCGUAAAGCUCUGUUGUAAGAGAAGAACGAGUGUGAGAGUGGAAAGUUCACACUGUGACGGUAUCUUACCAGAAAGGGACGGCUAACUACGUGCCAGCAGCCGCGGUAAUACGUAGGUCCCGAGCGUUGUCCGGAUUUAUUGGGCGUAAAGCGAGCGCAGGCGGUUAGAUAAGUCUGAAGUUAAAGGCUGUGGCUUAACCAUAGUACGCUUUGGAAACUGUUUAACUUGAGUGCAAGAGGGGAGAGUGGAAUUCCAUGUGUAGCGGUGAAAUGCGUAGAUAUAUGGAGGAACACCGGUGGCGAAAGCGGCUCUCUGGCUUGUAACUGACGCUGAGGCUCGAAAGCGUGNNGAGCAAACAGGAUUAGAUACCCUGGUAGUCCACGCCGUAAACGAUGAGUGCUAGGUGUUAGACCCUUUCCGGGGUUUAGUGCCGUAGCUAACGCAUU